This 3245-nucleotide long non-coding RNA is filed under the name Equus caballus (horse). Its description in RNAcentral is "lncRNA (ENSECAG00000043859.1)". The record is from RNAcentral. Lineage: Eukaryota; Metazoa; Chordata; Mammalia; Perissodactyla; Equidae.
CGCGCACGCUCUGGCCGCCCCCGGGGAAGCCGCGCGCGUGACGCGGGGCUGGGGGCCAGAUCCCGGCCCUGCCUGGGACUCUGCGGGGCCCGCGGGAAGCUCUGUUUCGGCGGCGGCGGGACGCCCUGGGCCCAUCUGAGAGAUGCCGGUGCCAGCCUUCCAGAUGGGAUCCUGAGGUUCAACGAAGUUAAGAGACUUACCUAAGGUCAUGUAGUAGACAUGGCUAAAGUGGGAUUUGAUUCCAGAUUAUAUGGCUCCAAGGAUGCUUGAUGAGCAGUGCCAGGUCUGCACCUGGGAUCCGAACCCAUGAACCCCAGGCCACCGAAGCAGAGCACACUAACUCAACCACUACACCACUGGGCCGGCCCCUGGAUGACCAUUUUAAAUUGUCAGUAAUCACACGGAACCAGUAUAAUCAUCUCGAUCACAUCCUUUAAGUGUGUAAGGACUUCCAGUAUGAUGUUGAAUAGAAGUGGUGAAAGUGGGCACACUUUCCUUUUUCCAAAUCCUACAGGAAAAGCUUUCACUUUUUCACCAUUGAGUAUUAUGCUCCCUGUAGGCCUUUCACAUAUGGCCUUUAUUAUGGUCAGACUUACUCCAAAGAGAAAGGUAUUGAAGGAAGAGAAUACUGGCCCCCCAGUACAUAGUUGUAUAUUCUUCGUUGUGGGUUCUUCUAGUUGUGGCACGUGGGACGCCGCCUCAGCGUGGCUCGAUGAGCAGUGCCAUGUCCGUGCCCAGGAUUCGAAACAACGAAACACUGGGCCGCCUGCAGCGGAGCGUGUGAACUCAGCCACUCAGCCACGGGGCCAGCCCUUCAACAAGGAUUUUUGAAAGUUUUCUAGUUAAUUCUAAGUUAACAAAAAAAUGUUUCAAGGUGUCUGGAUACCUUAUUUCUCUAGAGUUUAUCAAGGUUUUAUUUCAGUGAUUCAAGGCUUUAAGUUGAAGCAGAAACGUAUAUCUGAGCUAGAAUAAUGGAGAAGAUUCUUCAUUACACGUUUCAGUAAUCAAAUAAUUAGGAAGAAAAUGUUAUUUUAAAAGUAAUCAUUUUGCAAUAUAUCAAAUCAUUAUGUUGUACACCUUAAACCUGUACAAUGUUAUAAAGUCAAUUGUAUCUCAAUAAAACUGGGGAAAAAAAGUCAGGAAUAGGAAAAAGACUAAUAUAGGUAUUGCAUGAAAACAAUCAGAAAGCACUCAAUAAACACAUUUUGUUCUCUGGAAGAAAAUUUGUGAUUCUGUAAGGUCUUUUUUUAAGUUUUCUGAUAAAAGGUAAUAAAUAUUUAUUGAGGAAAGCUUGAAAAAUAUAAAGAGAUGAAUAAAUACCACCCAAAUUUCACUACUCAGAUAUGACUGCUGUUAAUAUUAUGGUAGUGUCUUUCAAAGUUUCUUAGCCUCUCCAAACUUCAGUUUCCUUAUUUGUCAAAUGAGAUUAAUAAUAGUACCAACUUCAUAAGGUUAUUCUGAGAAUUACAUAGGUAAAACAUAUGAAAGCUUAAUGUUUGAUACAGAAUAAGCACACACACAAAAAGGUUAGCUGUCACUAAUUUCAAUGCCUAUCUCCAUUUUUUUAGUUUUAUAAACCAGGGUCAUACUUACCUUUUGUUUCACAUCAUGAUAUUUUCAUUAAAAAUAUUAUGACAUUUCAGGGGCCAGCACGGUUGUGUAGUGGUUAAAUUCGUGUGCUCUGCUUUGGCGGCUAGGGGUUCACAGGUUCGGAUCCUGAGCAUGGACCUACAUGCCACUCAUCAAGCCAUGCUGUGGCGCUGUCCCAUGUACAAAAUAGAGGAAGAUUGGCACAGAUUUAGCUCAACAGCAAUCUUCAUCACCACACACACACACACAGAAAAAAAUAUAUAUAUAAUGAAUAUUUCCUAGGUCAUUAAAAUUCUUUACAAUAUAUUUUUAAUAGCUUCAUAAUCUAGUAUUCUAUCUUGUGGAGCAGUAGUUCUCAAUCAGGUGCUAUUUUGCCCCCAGUGGACAUUUGGCGAUGUCUAGAGACAUUUUUGAUUGGCACAAAUGGGGAAGUGAGGUACUACUGGCAUCUAAUGAGUCAAGGUCAGAGGUGCUGCUGCACAUCCUACAAUGCACGGGACAGUCUCCCACAACAAAGAAUUCUCCAACUCAAAAUAUAAAAAUUGCUGCAAUUGACGAACCCAAGGAUGUAUCAAGAUUUUUUUUUUAAACCAAGCCAUUCUUAUUAAACGUUUAAAUAAAUUUUAUUAUUAUUAUAAGUAACACUGGAAUGAAAAUCCUUGUAGUUCCUGUUUUCUGAGGCUGUUUUGUGGUCUGCAUGAUAAUUUACUUUCAAUUGCAUCAAUAUAAGCAUUUUGGUGUGUGUAUGUGUGUGCAGACUUGCACUUAAGAGCAUAAGGCAAAUUAUCCCUAAUCCAUAUCCUGGGACAAUUAAUUAGCAUUUGAAAUGUCCUAAAAGGGAUCAAUAUUUUAUGAGUCGAUUAUUUGAUUCUUAAAUUAUUCUUAUUGAUAGUUACACCACAGGGUAUGUUAUUUAAUACUAAUGUAGAAGUAUUAUUUUGACCUUGGGCAUGUUAUCCAGCAGGUCAGUUUGAAGAUCCGGAAACUGAUCCCCAGAGGUAUAGAUACCUCAGUUUGAAGACUAUUGAGUUAGACCAAAGAGAGGCUGGUGCCCCAAGAAAAGGGAUUUUCAAUUUAUCCCAUAGACCAGAGUUUCUCAACUUCCACACUGUUGACAUUUUGGAAAAUUUGGGGAAAUUCCUUGUUAUUGAGAGGGAGGUCAUCCUCUGCAGUGCAGCAAAGAAUGUUUAGCAGCAUCCCUGGCCUUUAACCACUAGAUGCCAGGCAGGAGCAGCCUCCCCCACCCAGUUGCAACACCAAAAUGCCUCCAGAUAUUGCCAAAUUUCCCCUCGGGAAUGAAAUCACUCGCAGUUGAGCAACAUUGCCCUAGAGAAAAGGUAAAUCAUUGAGUGGUUUGAAGCAGUAAGACACAAUCAAAAUUGCAGGGCUAUUUUUAUUGCUUUUAGAAGCAAUUGCAAUGUUAAUAUGGAGACAGGCCUAAUAAAUUUUUCAAAGAACUGGUAAAAAAGGAAGAAUCUUUGGGGACAUUUGCCUGUCCAAUAUCAAAACACAUUCUAAAGCUUUAUUAUUUAAACUUGGGUACUAAUGUAGGAAUUAAUAAAGAGAUCUAAGAAAUGGAAAAAACAGUCCAGAAAUAGGUUAAUGUUAGAAAGAAUAGCAAAAUAAGCAUUCUCACUCAAUAUGAUGGUAUCAUG